This is a non-coding RNA of Rattus norvegicus (Norway rat), 475 nucleotides long. The record is from RefSeq and is a predicted model, not a curated record. NCBI's taxonomy places the organism in Eukaryota, Metazoa, Chordata, Mammalia, Rodentia, Muridae.
GAGCUCUGAUCAGAACACCGAACGGACAUGGACCGUGCGCAAGGAGGCCCAGUGGACACUCUUUCUUCCAGUUGCUGCUGUACCACACUUUUACCUUAUCAACUCUAAAACUGUUUAAAACCACUCUGUCAUCUAAAAUGAGCAAAGCAGAGUGCUAAGGUGCUGUAGUUACAUACAGUGCUGACACAGGCAGUUUCAGAGAAUGUACCUGAUUCAUAAAUCCUGAUGUCACUUGGAAAGAGCAAAGGAGAACUUCCAACGGAAUCCCAAGAAAUAAGUGGGAAAAAACUGUCUCUGGAAAAACUGAAGACCAUAUAUCUAUUGGACUUUAUGAUACUCACUUCAUUAAUUCAGAAUCUUUUUGGGUUGGGGGUGUUAAUCUCUACCAUGACUGGCAUUUAGAUAGUAAAUGUACUUUAAAGGCAGACAGGAAAAUCAAUAAACCUAUUACAAACAAAUAAUUAAAGUGCAUAAA